UUGACCUCAAAUCAGGUGGGACUACCCGCUGAA
This 33-nucleotide ribosomal RNA is filed under the name Stereum hirsutum. Its description in RNAcentral is "partial 28S ribosomal RNA". Lineage: Eukaryota; Fungi; Basidiomycota; Agaricomycetes; Russulales; Stereaceae. The record is from RNAcentral.